CCUACGGGAGGCAGCAGUCGAGAAUCAUUCACAAUGGGGGAAACCCUGAUGGUGCGACGCCGCGUGGGGGAAUGAAGGUCUUCGGAUUGUAAACUCCUGUCAUGUGGGAGCAAAUUAAAAAGAUAGUACCAUAAGAGGAAGAGACGGCUAACUCUGCGCCAGCAGCCGCGGUAAUACAGAGGUAUCAAGCGUUGUUCGGAAGCACUGGGCGUAAAGCGUGCGUAGGCCGUUUGGUAAGUCGUGUGUGAAAGUCGCGGGCUCAACCCGCGGACGGCACAUGGUACUGCGAGACUAGAGUAAAGGAGGGGAAACCGGAAUUCUCGGUGUAGCAGUGAAAUGCGUAGAUAUCAGGAGGAACACUCGUGGCGAAGGCGGGUUCCUGGACAUUAACUGACGCUGAGGCACGAAGGCCAGGGGAGCGAAAGGGAUUAGAUACCCGAGUAGUC
RNAcentral lists this ribosomal RNA (446 nucleotides) under uncultured bacterium. Its description in RNAcentral is "partial 16S ribosomal RNA". It matches the Rfam family "Bacterial small subunit ribosomal RNA", at positions 338 to 795 of the family's 1533-position model. The record is from RNAcentral.